Molecule: ribosomal RNA, 468 nt
Filed under: uncultured bacterium
Lineage: Bacteria
Description: partial 16S ribosomal RNA
Rfam family: Bacterial small subunit ribosomal RNA
Source: RNAcentral
GACGAACGCUGGCGGCGGGCUUAACACAUGCAAGUCGAACGGAAAGGCCCUGCUUUUGUGGGGUGCUCGAGUGGCGAACGGGUGAGUAACACGUGAGUAACCUGCCCUUGACUUUGGGAUAACUUCAGGAAACUGGGGCUAAUACCGGAUAGGAGCUCCUGCUGCAUGGUGGGGGUUGGAAAGUUUCGGCGGUUGGGGAUGGACUCGCGGCUUAUCAGCUUGUUGGUGGGGUAGUGGCUUACCAAGGCUUUGACGGGUAGCCGGCCUGAGAGGGUGACCGGCCACAUUGGGACUGAGAUACGGCACAGACGCCUACGGGAGGCAGCAGUGGGGAAUAUUGCACAAUGGGCGGAAGCCUGAUGCAGCAACGCCGCGUGCGGGAUGACGGCCUUCGGGUUGUAAACCGCUUUCGCCUGUGACGAAGCGUGAGUGACGGUAAUGGGUAAAGAAGCACCGGCUAACUACGUG